GACGAACGCUGGCGGCGUGCUUAACACAUGCAAGUCGAACGGAAAGGCCCUGCUUUUGUGGGGUGCUCGAGUGGCGAACGGGUGAGUAACACGUGAGUAACCUGCCCUUGACUUUGGGAUAACUUCAGGAAACUGGGGCUAAUACCGGAUAGGAGCUCCUGCUGCAUGGUGGGGGUUGGAAAGUUUCGGCGGUUGGGGAUGGACUCGCGGCUUAUCAGCUUGUUGGUGGGGUAGUGGCUUACCAAGGCUUUGACGGGUAGCCGGCCUGAGAGGGUGACCGGCCACAUUGGGACUGAGAUACGGCCCAGACUCCUACGGGAGGCAGCAGUGGGGAAUAUUGCACAAUGGGCGGAAGCCUGAUGCAGCAACGCCGCGUGCGGGAUGACGGCCUUCGGGUUGUAACCCGCUUUCGCCUGUGACGAAGCGUGAGUGACGAUAAUGGGUAAAGAAGCACCGGCUAACUACGU
This 467-nucleotide ribosomal RNA is filed under the name uncultured bacterium. Its description in RNAcentral is "partial 16S ribosomal RNA". It matches the Rfam family "Bacterial small subunit ribosomal RNA", at positions 28 to 506 of the family's 1533-position model. The record is from RNAcentral.